RNAcentral lists this ribosomal RNA (87 nucleotides) under Paenibacillus taichungensis. RNAcentral describes it as "partial 23S ribosomal RNA". It matches the Rfam family "Bacterial large subunit ribosomal RNA", at positions 2838 to 2925 of the family's 2925-position model. RNAcentral also lists the same sequence under 1 other name. The record is from RNAcentral. Lineage: Bacteria; Bacillati; Bacillota; Bacilli; Caryophanales; Paenibacillaceae.
UUGAAGACGACGAGGUAGAUAGGCUGGGGGUGGAAGUGCAGCAAUGCAUGGAGCUGACCAGUACUAAUCGGUCGAGGGCUUAUCCAA